GAUGAACGCUGGCGGCGUGCCUAUACAUGCCAGUCGAGCGAACGGACUAGAAGCUUGCUUCUCUGAUGUUAGCGGCGGACGGGUGAGUAACACGUGGAUAACCUACCUAUAAGACUGGGAUAACUUCGGGAAACCGUAGCUAAUACCGGAUAAUAUUUUGAACCGCAUGGUUCAAAAGUGAAAGGCGGUCUUGCUGUCACUUAUAGAUGGAUCCGCGCUGCAUUAGCUAGUUGGUAAGGUAACGGCUUACCAAGGCAACGAUGCAUAGCCGACCUGAGAGGGUGAUCGGCCACACUGGAACUGAGACACGGUCCAGACUCCUACGGGAGGCAGCAGUAGGGAAUCUUCCGCAAUGGGCGAAAGCCUGACGGAGCAACGCCGCGUGAGUGAUGAAGGUCUUCGGAUCGUAAAACUCUGUUAUUAGGGAAGAACAUAUGUGUAAGUAACUGUGCACAUCUUGACGGUACCUAAUCAGAAAGCCACGGCUAACUACGUG
RNAcentral lists this ribosomal RNA (496 nucleotides) under uncultured bacterium. RNAcentral's name for it is "partial 16S ribosomal RNA". It matches the Rfam family "Bacterial small subunit ribosomal RNA", at positions 28 to 507 of the family's 1533-position model. The record is from RNAcentral.